Molecule: ribosomal RNA, 693 nt
Filed under: Pseudomonas sp.
Lineage: Bacteria; Pseudomonadati; Pseudomonadota; Gammaproteobacteria; Pseudomonadales; Pseudomonadaceae
Description: bacterial SSU rRNA
Rfam family: Bacterial small subunit ribosomal RNA
Source: RNAcentral
GUCGAGCGGAUGAAAGGAGCUUGCUCCUGGAUUCAGCGGCGGACGGGUGAGUAAUGCCUAGGAAUCUGCCUGGUAGUGGGGGACAACGUUUCGAAAGGAACGCUAAUACCGCAUACGUCCUACGGGAGAAAGCAGGGGACCUUCGGGCCUUGCGCUAUCAGAUGAGCCUAGGUCGGAUUAGCUAGUUGGUGAGGUAAUGGCUCACCAAGGCGACGAUCCGUAACUGGUCUGAGAGGAUGAUCAGUCACACUGGAACUGAGACACGGUCCAGACUCCUACGGGAGGCAGCAGUGGGGAAUAUUGGACAAUGGGCGAAAGCCUGAUCCAGCCAUGCCGCGUGUGUGAAGAAGGUCUUCGGAUUGUAAAGCACUUUAAGUUGGGAGGAAGGGUUGUAGAUUAAUACUCUGCAAUUUUGACGUUACCGACAGAAUAAGCACCGGCUAACUCUGUGCCAGCAGCCGCGGUAAUACAGAGGGUGCAAGCGUUAAUCGGAAUUACUGGGCGUAAAGCGCGCGUAGGUGGUUCGUUAAGUUGGAUGUGAAAUCCCCGGGCUCAACCUGGGAACUGCAUUCAAAACUGUCGAGCUAGAGUAUGGUAGAGGGUGGUGGAAUUUCCUGUGUAGCGGUGAAAUGCGUAGAUAUAGGAAGGAACACCAGUGGCGAAGGCGACCACCUGGACUGAUACUGACACUGA